AGCGGCGGACGGGUGAGUAAUACGUAGGAACGUACCCCAAAGUGAGGAAUAACUCCGGGAAACCGGGGCUAAUACCGCAUAUGCUCUACGGAGUAAAGCCUUCGGGCGCUUUGGGAACGGCCUGCGUCCGAUUAGCUAGUUGGUAGGGUAAAGGCCUACCAAGGCGACGAUCGGUAGCUGUUCUGAGAGGAUGAUCAGCCACACUGGAACUGAGACACGGUCCAGACUCCUACGGGAGGCAGCAGUAGGGAAUUUUCCACAAUGGGCGAAAGCCUGAUGGAGCAACGCCGCGUGCAGGAUGAAGGCCUUUGGGUUGUAAACUGCUUUUAUCUGUGACGAUUAUGACAGUAGCAGAUGAAUAAGGAUCGGCUAACUCCGUGCCAGCAGCCGCGGUCAUACGGAGGAUCCAAGCGUUAUCCGGAAUUACUGGGCGUAAAGAGUUGCGUAGGUGGCAUGGCAAGUAGAUAGUGAAAGCGUUCCGCUCAACGGAAUACACAUUAUCUAAACUGCUAAGCUAGAGAAUGGUAGAGGUUACUGGAAUUCCCGGUGUAGGAGUGAAAUCCGUAGAUAUCGGGAGGAACACCAAUGGCGUAGGCAG
This 598-nucleotide ribosomal RNA is filed under the name uncultured cyanobacterium. RNAcentral's name for it is "bacterial SSU rRNA". It matches the Rfam family "Bacterial small subunit ribosomal RNA", at positions 94 to 724 of the family's 1533-position model. Lineage: Bacteria; Bacillati; Cyanobacteriota. The record is from RNAcentral.